UGGAGAUAGACUGCACAAACUUGUCCAGUUGUAACCUAACACUGCUCUGAAGAAAGAGCUGCAAAGAUAAAGACGUGAAGUGUCCUCUUUAUUUGAAAGUGCAGGACAGUCCUGGCAGGGACAAGGCACCAGGAAGGGCAUUUUUAAGGAAUAUGUAAAGAUAAAGGAAGAAAGAAAGACAAGUUGAAGAAAUCUAGUUGAAGAGGGCUGGAGGAGUGGGGUGUUUGGAGAAGGGAGCAGCUGCAGAGACCUGAAGGAGACCUUCAUAUGGAGAGGACGAUAGGAUGACACUCCACUUGUGGGAGCUCCAUUAAAGUGUAAACAAAAAAAGUCCCAGUCAGAUGUCCCAGCUGAGAAGUGAUCUCUCAAGCCAUUCUGACUCACUCAAUGGAGACCCCGUGCCGGAUCAGACACCCUUCCUGCCCACUAGCACAGAUCAGGAGGAGAUCUCGUGCACUUCCUCCACGCAGAAUCCAGCGGUAGCACCGUCUGCUCUGUGCCACAUCCCAGCCCCUCACCCUCAGGCCCCAGCAACAGAGGAGAAGGAGAAACUGCCAGAUGACGACAAGUCCCUGAACUUCCUGGCAAAUGGAACAGCACCACCCAAAAGUGAGGCCACGUCAGAAUUCAUGGUCACUCCCGAAGCUGUGAC
This 652-nucleotide long non-coding RNA is filed under the name Chrysemys picta bellii (western painted turtle). RNAcentral's name for it is "lncRNA (ENSCPBG00000017456.1)". The record is from RNAcentral. Lineage: Eukaryota; Metazoa; Chordata; Testudines; Emydidae.